UCUUGCUCUUGAUCUUGAUCUUUGACUUGACCUCAAAUCAGGUAGGACUACCCGCUGAACUUAAGCAUAUCAAUAAGCGGAGGAAAAGAAACUAACAAGGAUUCCCCUAGUAACUGCGAGUGAAGCGGGCAAAGCUCAAAUUGUAGAUCUGACGGUCGUUCUGGUCGUCCGAGUUGUAAUCUAGAGAAGCGUCUUCCGCGCUGGACCGUGUACAAGUCUCCUGGAAGGGAGCGUCAUAGAGGGUGAGAAUCCCGUCUUUGACACGGACUACCAGUGCUAUGUGAUGCGCUCUCGACGAGUCGAGUUGUUUGGGAAUGCAGCUCAAAAUGGGUGGUAAAUUCCAUCUAAAGCUAAAUACAGGCGAGAGACCGAUAGCGAACAAGUACCGUGAGGGAAAGAUGAAAAGAACUUUGGGAAGAGAGUUAAACAGUACGUGAAAUUGCUGAAAGGGAAACGCUUGAUGUCAGUCUCGUCCGCCAGGGAUCAACCUUGCAUUAUUUCAAUUGCUGGGUGCAUUUCUUGGUUGGACGGGUCAGCAUCAGUUUCGAUCGUCGUAGAAUGUACAAGGGAACGUGGCACCUCCAGGGGUGUGUUAUAGCCUUUGAUCGUAUGCGUCGGUGGGGACUGAGGAACUCGGCACGAUCCUUCGAGGGUUUGUGUCUAGGAUGCUGGCAUAAUGGCC
Molecule: ribosomal RNA, 682 nt
Filed under: uncultured Xerocomus
Lineage: Eukaryota; Fungi; Basidiomycota; Agaricomycetes; Boletales; Boletaceae
Description: eukaryotic LSU rRNA
Rfam family: Eukaryotic large subunit ribosomal RNA
Source: RNAcentral